CAAGAUUGGAUUACGGUAAUAGGCUCUACAUGGGGCCGCAUCUUAAAACUACUCAAACUUCAUCUGGUGCAGAACCCAGCUGCCCACUUGGAGUAAAGGGCCUGCAGCAGAGGGGUGAAUAGAGGAUUCCUAUCUAUCCAACAGAACCACUGGGAUACUCAGGAUCUUCUUUAAUAUCAACAACAUCAGGUACAACAAAGGUAAUGUCAACAACACAGUUACCCUGUAAAAAAGCAAUUGAAUAGUCCAUGAGCCAAGUUUCCUCAACCCCAGUUUGCAGAGAUGAGAUCACGCUUGAAAAAGGCCCCCAGCCCCGGUGAGUGAAGGCGCUAAUGAAAAUUAGCAUUCCAAAAGAAUCUUCCGCAGCUGUCUUCAUAAAAAGAAACUGAUUAGUGGUUUGGACGGUGCUAACUCUGUAAAUUAUCAAACAAAUACAGCAGAAGCAUCCAUUUAUGUAUAUUAAAAUUACAAUUUGAACAUCACACU
This is a long non-coding RNA of Mauremys reevesii (Reeves's turtle), 486 nucleotides long. RefSeq lists it as uncharacterized. Lineage: Eukaryota; Metazoa; Chordata; Testudines; Geoemydidae. The transcript is spliced from 3 exons. The record is from RefSeq and is a predicted model, not a curated record.